GAAGUGUUCUCGGCGCUGUUGUGGCGCAUUCGUUCAGUAGACAUCAAGUUGAAAGCAUCCAGUGCAUUUCCGCCUCCUGACUUUGCUUUGGUUUCAAGUUUCGUUUCAACCUAAAAUAUCAGCCAGAAUGAAGGUUUACAUGUGCCUGCUUCUCCUGAUGGUCGUUGGAUGUGCCUUGUGUUUUGCAGAGAAAUUUCUUGCCGAGAAGUUGAUGCAAGACCUGGAAUCUCGCGGAAUAGUGAAGAAGGGGAAGUCUUGCACAACUCAGGCCGAAUGUGGUUUUCCACAGUAUUAUUGUGCUAAACGUGUCCGUUUCUCUCCGGGCGUUUGCAGAGAGCUCAUUGGUAAAAGACGCUAGGAAUUCUGAAAAUCAACAUGAAUGAAUUAAACCAUGAUCGUCAGUGGUUAACCGACAGCAAGGCUUUAUUCUGAUUCAAUAAGAUUUGACAUUAAUUCAUUUUUCUUCUUUCCUGGUAAGAUUGUCUCAUUUUUGUUAACAAUACUGGGUCGGUGUUCCAGCCAGUUUUUUCCAUUGAUUCCGUGACAGUGCUGUGCACUUGUAAAGGCUGCUCACUCUGAAUUUAAAAAGCACUUUUGAAAUCAAAAUGAAACAAAAAAUAUAGGUAAUCGAUCCGUGAAUACUGACAUAUAUUAAACGAUCGGCACAUUUGAUUUUUUUUUUACAGAACGCAUACAAAUCUUAAAGAUAAAUUCUUCUCAUCAUGUAAAUGGCACGAAAAGUGAGCUCGAAUACGGACUUAAUUAUUAUUUCCUCUGUUUGGUGUAUUAAAACAAUAUACGUUUGUUUCUGUCUGUAAUAAUUUUGUUCUUGUGCUUUUGGGGUAUCGGUGUUGCGUGGUUAUCAUUAUCCGUGAUGAUGGGUAAAAUCCACUUUUAAAAUAUCCAUUAAUAUUCUUCCUGCUUGUAUCGUGUAAGCAGGACUGGGAUAUGGAAACGUUUGCAUCCAAGGAUUUUUUUUUGUGGAAAGGGCGGAACACAAGCCCAGAAAAAACAUAAGAAGGUUACUUUCUAAAUUGGCACACUUCUUUGUCGUGAUUUCAAAUCCAAAAGACACUGAGGGUUAGCCACAAAUGUUUCAGCUUUAAGGUUAGAUUGGAAUACUCGUUUAUGUAAUGUUUUUGGUCUUCUUGGUAUUUUGGGUAUUACAUUGGUGCAUGGUUAUCAUUAUCCGUGAUAAUGGGUAAAAUCCAAUUUUAUUUUACGCGCCAACUGUCACAACUCUAGAUGGGGCCAUUACCGUAAAGUUCAAGGGUGCACACAAGCUAAACUGGUUCUAUAAUACAGGAAGAUGUUCACAUGCGAUCUUAUUUUUCUCGCUGUUGACUAAUAAAGUCAUACUAUUCCUUUAAAAAUGAUUGUUGCCUUAUCUUUUAAAACCUGCCAUUUUGUUGUGUAAAAUACUCAGCCAUAAAUUAUGUACAUCUUUGUUACAAAACACAGAUAGGCUGUCCUUGAUGGAAUUUAUUCUCAUAACAGGUGUUUGUUCACUGUAAAAGAAGAUCCAAUUCUUCAAACAGGACUUUGAAAUCAUUCGUUAUUAAUUGAACGUAUGCUAUCUCUUAUCCCUUUUCAUCCUUCGAUGCUUUCUCUUUUGUAAACGUACUGUGAAUGAUACAGCU
Molecule: long non-coding RNA, 1640 nt
Filed under: Patiria miniata (bat star)
Lineage: Eukaryota; Metazoa; Echinodermata; Asteroidea; Valvatida; Asterinidae
Description: uncharacterized LOC119743390
Source: RNAcentral